AAUUGGAGGGCAAGUCUGGUGCCAGCAGCCGCGGUAAUUCCAGCUCCAAUAGCGUAUAUUAAGGUUGUUGCAGUUAAAAAGCUCGUAGUUGAAUUUCGGGACUGACAGGUUGGUCGCGCCUUCGGUGUGUACUGGCCUAGUCGGUUUCUCCCUUCUGACGAACCACGAUGUCAUUAAUUUGGUGUCGUGGGGAAUCAGGACUGUUACUUUGAAAAAAUUAGAGUGUUUAAAGCAGGCUUAGGCUUGAAUACAUUAGCAUGGAAUAAUGAAAUAGGACGUUUGACCCUAUUUUGUUGGUUUCUAGGAUCGACGUAAUGAUUAAUAGGGAUAGUUGGGGGCAUUAGUAUUCAAUUGUCAGAGGUGAAAUUCUUGGAUUUAUUGAAGACUAACUACUGCGAAAGCAUUUGCCAAGGAUGUUUUCAUUAAUCAAGAACGAAAGUUAGGGGAUCGAAGACGAUCAGAUACCGUCGUAGUCUUAACCAUAAACUAUGCCGACUAGGGAUCGGAUGAUGUUAAUUUUAUAAUGACUCAUUCGGCGCCUUACGGGAAACCAAAGUGU
RNAcentral lists this ribosomal RNA (559 nucleotides) under uncultured Glomus. Its description in RNAcentral is "SSU rRNA". It matches the Rfam family "Eukaryotic small subunit ribosomal RNA", at positions 546 to 1106 of the family's 1831-position model. The record is from RNAcentral. Lineage: Eukaryota; Fungi; Glomeromycota; Glomeromycetes; Glomerales; Glomeraceae.